UACGAAGGGGGCUAGCGUUGCUCGGAAUCACUGGGCGUAAAGGGUGCGUAGGCGGGUCUUUAAGUCAGGGGUGAAAUCCUGGAGCUCAACUCCAGAACUGCCUUUGAUACUGAAGAUCUUGAGUCCGGGAGAGGUGAGUGGAACUGCGAGUGUAGAGGUGAAAUUCGUAGAUAUUCGCAAGAACACCAGUGGCGAAGACGGCUCACUGGCCCGGUACUGACGCUGAGGUGCGAAAGCGUGGGGAGCAAACAGG
This 253-nucleotide ribosomal RNA is filed under the name uncultured bacterium. RNAcentral's name for it is "partial 16S ribosomal RNA". It matches the Rfam family "Bacterial small subunit ribosomal RNA", at positions 524 to 776 of the family's 1533-position model. The record is from RNAcentral.